Xiphophorus hellerii (green swordtail) is the source of this 1554-nucleotide long non-coding RNA. RefSeq lists it as uncharacterized. Lineage: Eukaryota; Metazoa; Chordata; Actinopteri; Cyprinodontiformes; Poeciliidae. The transcript is spliced from 5 exons. The record is from RefSeq and is a predicted model, not a curated record.
UGUUCCGGGGUUCUGGCUGCAUGGUGGGAGUUCCUGUGCACCCUUAUUACCUUUUACCACCAGAUGGCGACAGGUUCCGGCUGGAGUGCGGUGCAUUAUUAUCCGCAGCUGUUCGUGAUCAUCCUCAUCAGCGGCGCAGACUUAAGGAGUUGGCCGCCAGUCCAGCGUCGCCUGAGUGUUAGCCAGUCACGGUGAUCCUUUGAUGAGAUCCCGGUUGAAUUCCUGGCUUUUGAACCAUCCUCGUGACGCCGUGGAAAGUAUCCACAGGUUGCCCGAGUUCCCAGACUUACCUCUCCGUUGUUUUGGCAAUUAUCUCCUGGACCCCACGGCUGGCGGCCGUACCACUCCUCCGUCUCCCCGCUGCUCUCGUGCCUACCUGUCCGCUGCCCACCGCACUCCUCCGUUGUUCCUGGACCCACCAAGAACCGAGACCCCGGACAUACUCGGUUUCCCCUCCAAGACUCUGUUCAUCAGCAACAAUGAACCAUUGUUGCCGUCCCUGUUUUUGCCCCUGGACCAGACCAUCCUGAUUCUCACUGAUAAUUGUGUGAUCUUUAUUAAAUCAUUUAACACUGAUCCUACCUCUCCUGUCUUGUGUUCUGCAUGUGGGCUUGUUAAAAACUACCAUCAUGACAGAACACUCAGGCCAACAAAUCAGCCCAGCAGACGCAAUCCGGAGAGCCUUAGCCGAACAACAAUCUACAUUGCAAACUCAUGAAAACGCACUAAGAGAGUUAAGUAGAACCCAAACUGAAACGAACCAACAACUGUCUGAAUUAACCCGAUUCCUUCGAGGUUCAGCCCCUCAAACUUCUCCUCCAGAUCCCGCUCCAGCUUCAAACCCAGCUCCGGAGGACAGGUCCUGGAUCUCUGGUUCUUCCAUCCUGGACCCUUCCCUUAUCUCCGACUAUCGUUCCUCGUUGCCUUCCAGUUCGUCUAGGCCGCCAGGUGGCGACCGUUGAGGGGGGGGUACUGUUAUGUUCCGGGGUUCUGGCUGCAUGGUGGGAGUUCCUGUGCACCCUUAUUACCUUUUACCACCAGAUGGCGACAGGUUCCGGCUGGAGUGCGGUGCAUUAUUAUCCGCAGCUGUUCGUGAUCAUCCUCAUCAGCGGCGCAGACUUAAGGAGUUGGCCGCCAGUCCAGCGUCGCCUGAGUGUUAGCCAGUCACGGUGAUCCUUUGAUGAGAUCCCGGUUGAAUUCCUGGCUUUUGAACCAUCCUCGUGACGCCGUGGAAAGUAUCCACAGGUUGCCCGAGUUCCCAGACUUACCUCUCCGUUGUUUUGGCAAUUAUCUCCUGGACCCCACGGCUGGCGGCCGUACCACUCCUCCGUCUCCCCGCUGCUCUCGUGCCUACCUGUCCGCUGCCCACCGCACUCCUCCGUUGUUCCUGGACCCACCAAGAACCGAGACCCCGGACAUACUCGGUUUCCCCUCCAAGACUCUGUUCAUCAGCAACAAUGAACCAUUGUUGCCGUCCCUGUUUUUGCCCCUGGACCAGACCAUCCUGAUUCUCACUGAUAAUUGUGUGAUCUUUAUUAAAUCAUUUAACACUGA